Long non-coding RNA from Rhincodon typus (whale shark), 269 nucleotides. RefSeq lists it as uncharacterized. NCBI's taxonomy places the organism in Eukaryota, Metazoa, Chordata, Chondrichthyes, Orectolobiformes, Rhincodontidae. The transcript has 3 exons. The record is from RefSeq and is a predicted model, not a curated record.
UGCUUAUCACUGCGCAGGCUCAGUAUGUUCCCGCGGGCCCACAGGCUAAAGCAUGCGCAGUGGGAGUGAUCCUGAGAAGCAGUUGCUUUUUGCCUCGGCUCCACAAAAGCAUGUUAGAAGAGGAUUUGCAGAUCGGAAACUCAAACCAAAUAUGAUACACCAAGAUCUAAGUGAGCCACUUUAUUCAUUCGGUCCUGGAUAUUAUUGGACUUUGAAUGCAGACCAGAACUGGACACAGUACUUCAGAAGAGGCCUCACCAACGUCCUGU